GAUGAACGCUGGCGGCGUGCUUAACACAUGCAAGUCGAGCGAGUGAGUUCUUCGGAACGAUCUAGCGGCGGACGGGUGAGUAACACGUGGGCAACCUGCCUCAUAGAGGGGAAUAGCCUCCCGAAAGGGAGAUUAAUACCGCAUAAAAUUAUCGAGUGGCAUCACAUGAUAAUCAAAGGAGUAAUCCGCUAUGAGAUGGGCCCGCGGCGCAUUAGCUAGUUGGUGAGGUAACGGCUCACCAAGGCGACGGUGCGUAGCCGACCUGAGAGGGUGAUCGGCCACAUUGGGACUGAGACACGGCCCAGACUCCUACGGGAGGCAGCAGUGGGGAAUACUGCACAAUGGGGGAAACCCUGAUGCAGCAACGCCGCGUGAGUGAUGAAGGUCUUCGGAUUGUAAAGCUCUGUCUUUGGGGACGAUAAUGACGGUACCCAAGGAGGAAGCCACGGCCAACUACGUGCCAGCAGCCGCCGUAA
Molecule: ribosomal RNA, 476 nt
Filed under: uncultured bacterium
Lineage: Bacteria
Description: partial 16S ribosomal RNA
Rfam family: Bacterial small subunit ribosomal RNA
Source: RNAcentral